RNAcentral lists this ribosomal RNA (647 nucleotides) under uncultured bacterium. RNAcentral's name for it is "bacterial SSU rRNA". It matches the Rfam family "Bacterial small subunit ribosomal RNA", at positions 68 to 728 of the family's 1533-position model. The record is from RNAcentral.
GAAGGCCCUGCUUUUGUGGGGUGCUCGAGUGGCGAACGGGUGAGUAACACGUGAGUAACCUGCCCUUGACUUUGGGAUAACUUCAGGAAACUGGGGCUAAUACCGGAUAGGAGCUCCUGCUGCAUGGUGGGGGUUGGAAAGUUUCGGCGGUUGGGGAUGGACUCGCGGCUUAUCAGCUUGUUGGUGGGGUAGUGGCUUACCAAGGCUUUGACGGGUAGCCGGCCUGAGAGGGUGACCGGCCACAUUGGGACUGAGAUACGGCCCAGACUCCUACGGGAGGCAGCAGUGGGGAAUAUUGCACAAUGGGCGGAAGCCUGAUGCAGCAACGCCGCGUGCGGGAUGACGGCCUUCGGGUUGUAAACCGCUUUCGCCUGUGACGAAGCGUGAGUGACGGUAAUGGGUAAAGAAGCACCGGCUAACUACGUGCCAGCAGCCGCGGUGAUACGUAGGGUGCGAGCGUUGUCCGGAUUUAUUGGGCGUAAAGGGCUCGUAGGUGGUUGAUCGCGUCGGAAGUGUAAUCUUGGGGCUUAACCCUGAGCGUGCUUUCGAUACGGGUUGACUUGAGGAAGGUAGGGGAGAAUGGAAUUCCUGGUGGAGCGGUGGAAUGCGCAGAUAUCAGGAGGAACACCAGUGGCGAAGGCGGUUCU